CCUACGGGUGGCAGCAGUGAGGAAUAUUGGUCAAUGGGCGCGAGCCUGAACCAGCCAAGUCGCGUGAGGGGUGACGGUCCUACGGAUUGUAACCCUCUUUUUCCGGGGCGCAAGCGUUCGUUCGUGAACGCGCGUCGAGAGUACCCGGAGAAAAAGCAUCGGCAAACUCCGUGCCAGCAGCCGCGGUAAUACGGGGUGUGCGAGGGUUAUCCGGAUUUAUUGGGGUUAAAGGGUGCGUGGGCGGGAAGCCAAGUCAGCGGUAAAAAUGCGGUGCUCAACGCCGUCGAGCCGUUGUAACUGGCGUUCUUGAGUGGGCGAGAGGUAUGCGGAAUGCGGGGUGUAGCGGUGAAAUGCAUAGAUAUAACGCAGAACACCGAUUGCGAAGGCAGAAUACCGGCGCCCUACUGACGCUGAGGCACGAAAGCGUGGGUAUCGAACAGGAUUAGAUACCCCUGUAGUC
This 460-nucleotide ribosomal RNA is filed under the name uncultured bacterium. RNAcentral describes it as "partial 16S ribosomal RNA". It matches the Rfam family "Bacterial small subunit ribosomal RNA", at positions 338 to 795 of the family's 1533-position model. The record is from RNAcentral.